GUGGGGAAUAUUGGACAAUGGGCGAAAGCCUGAUCCAGCCAUGCCGCGUGUGUGAAGAAGGUCUUCGGAUUGUAAAGCACUUUAAGUUGGGAGGAAGGGCAUUAACCUAAUACGUUAGUGUUUUGACGUUACCAACAGAAUAAGCACCGGCUAACUUCGUGCCAGCAGCCGCGGUAAUACGAAGGGUGCAAGCGUUAAUCGGAAUUACUGGGCGUAAAGCGCGCGUAGGUGGUUUUGUAAGUUGGAGGUGAAAUCCCCGGGCUCAACCUGGGAACUGCCUCCAAAACUGCAUGACUAGAGUACGGUAGAGGGUAGUGGAAUUUCCUGUGUAGCGGUGAAAUGCGUAGAUAUAGGAAGGAACACCAGUGGCGAAGGCGACUACCUGGACUGAUACUGACACUGAGGUGCGAAAGCGUGGGGAGCAAACAGGAUUAGAAACCCUUGUAGUCC
This 450-nucleotide ribosomal RNA is filed under the name uncultured bacterium. RNAcentral describes it as "partial 16S ribosomal RNA". It matches the Rfam family "Bacterial small subunit ribosomal RNA", at positions 354 to 796 of the family's 1533-position model. The record is from RNAcentral.